CCUUAGAUGUUCGAGGCUGCACGCGCGCUACAAUGGUAUGGUCAACGAGUCCCUGGCUCGAAAGGGCUGGGGAAUCACAUGAAUCUAUAUCGUGCUGGGGAUAGAUGAUUGCAAUUAUUCGUCUUCAACGAGGAAUUCCUAGUAAGUGCACUUCAUCAGAGUGCGCUGAUUGCGUCCCUGCCCUUUGUACACACCGCCCGUCGCUCCUACCGAUUGAACGGUCCGGUGAAAUCUACGGAUACCGGGACCUAAGGGGCAACCCUGAGUCCUAGUAGAAGUUGAGUAAACCUUACUGUUUAGAGGAAGGAGAAGUCGUAACAAGGUU
This 325-nucleotide ribosomal RNA is filed under the name uncultured eukaryote. Its description in RNAcentral is "bacterial SSU rRNA". It matches the Rfam family "Eukaryotic small subunit ribosomal RNA", at positions 1471 to 1801 of the family's 1831-position model. The record is from RNAcentral.